Non-coding RNA from Armillaria borealis, 92 nucleotides. Lineage: Eukaryota; Fungi; Basidiomycota; Agaricomycetes; Agaricales; Physalacriaceae. The record is from the annotation of a GenBank genome assembly.
UCGGAUAUGGUGUAACGGCUAACAUUGCCGCCUCUCAUUACGCAGAAGUGUAAAUAUCGCGGCAGCUCGGGGUUCGAUUCCCCGUAUCCGAA